RNAcentral lists this unclassified non-coding RNA (305 nucleotides) under plant metagenome. Its description in RNAcentral is "partial contains 5.8S ribosomal RNA, internal transcribed spacer 2, and large subunit ribosomal RNA". The stretch from base 1 to 105 matches the Rfam family "5.8S ribosomal RNA", at positions 50 to 154 of the family's 154-position model. The record is from RNAcentral.
GAAAUGCGAUAAGUAGUGUGAAUUGCAGAAUUCAGUGAAUCAUCGAAACUUUGAACGCACAUUGCGCCCUUUGGUAUUCCUUAGGGCAUGCCUGUUCGAGCGUCAUCUAAACCUUCAAGCCCUGCUUGGUGUUGGGUGCCUGUCCCGCCUCCGCGCGCGGACUCACCUCAAAUCCAUUGGCGGCCCCCGCGUCGGCCACGAGCGCAGCAGAAACGCGAACUCGUGAGCCCGUCCGGGCGGCUCCCAGAAGCUACACCCACCCAGUUUGACCUCGGAUCAGGUAGGGAUACCCGCUGAACUUAAGC